GCCAAGAAGAGAGCCAUCACCAGGAACCAAAUCAGCUGGCCUCCUUUUUUUUAAAAUUGAGGAUUCCACCUGAGCAUGCAAAUUUCUGACAGAGCAGGGAUUGUCGUGGAGAUCAGGAGAUCUGGGAUCCAGCUGAAAUGGAAAACUAAGUAGGUAAGUCAAAAUUGCUGUGAAAAUUUUCUUCAAACUUUUUGAAAAGAAAUUAUCCAGAAAGAAAAAUCUCUGAAGCUACACAAUGAAAACUUCAAGGAUAGAGGAAAACUCUCAUUGCCUGCAUCUACAGAACACAGGCAAAAUAAACUACCCCCUACACACACACACUGUACAGUUUAUGUU
Molecule: long non-coding RNA, 336 nt
Organism: Equus caballus (horse)
Lineage: Eukaryota; Metazoa; Chordata; Mammalia; Perissodactyla; Equidae
Source: RefSeq, a predicted model, not a curated record